AUGGCUGGACCACAUCUUUACCAAGUGACAAGUGAAGAGAAAACAUAUGCUGUUAACCUGCAGAAAUACACUUGUGGGUGUAGGAAGUGGGAUAUGACAGCAGUGCCUUGCAAUCAUGCUGUCUCUGCCAUACACAAAGCUAAGCUACAGCCAGAGGACUUUGUUCAUGAUUUUUUAAAAAAACCAAUGUACAAGGCUGCAUAUAGUCCCAUAAUCUAUCCAGUACCUAGCCCUGACAUGUGGCCAAAGACAAACAGUAGGGACAUUGACCCUCCAGUCUUCAAAGAACACAAAGGCAGAGCACAAACUAAGAGACGAAAGGGCAGACAUGAGAAGCCAGCUCCAAAAGACACUUCAAGGAUGGCCUCAAUCACUUGUUCUAAUUGCAGCAAAGUUGGCCAUAGGUACACCAACUGCCAUGUUGCUUUGAAGCCUGCACUAGCCAUGAGAAAGAAUAGACAUGAGCCAAGCACCUCUUCUUAUCCACCUGAUGCUGCUACUGCACCAGCACCAGCAAGAAGGGCUGCAUCUACUGCCACUGCACCAGCACCAGCAAGAAGAACUCCAUCUUCUGCCACUAUACCAUCAACAAGAUCUGCUACUGCUGCAAAGGGUAAGGCUACAGCCACUAGGGCUUCAACUGCUGCAAAGGGUAAGGCUACAGCCACUAGGGCUUCAACUGCUACAAAGGGAGCAAGGGCAGCUUUCUUGCCUCCAAGACCAAACAGUGGUUCCCAGAGAGUCAGAAAGCCAACCCAAAAGAUCAAGGACUACCUGACUGCUUCUGGUGCAGCAUGGGAUUGA
Molecule: ribosomal RNA, 804 nt
Filed under: Triticum aestivum (bread wheat)
Lineage: Eukaryota; Viridiplantae; Streptophyta; Magnoliopsida; Poales; Poaceae
Description: partial small subunit ribosomal RNA
Source: RNAcentral